CGGAGCGUGGCGCAGUUUGGUAGCGCACCUGCUUUGGGAGCAGGGGGUCGCUGGUUCGAAUCCAGUCGCUCCGACCA
RNAcentral lists this transfer RNA (77 nucleotides) under Candidatus Desulfovibrio gallistercoris. RNAcentral's name for it is "tRNA-Pro". It matches the Rfam family "tRNA". Rfam says of the family: Transfer RNA (tRNA) molecules are approximately 80 nucleotides in length. Their secondary structure includes four short double-helical elements and three loops (D, anti-codon, and T loops). Further hydrogen bonds mediate the characteristic L-shaped molecular structure. tRNAs have two regions of fundamental functional importance: the anti-codon, which is responsible for specific mRNA codon recognition, and the 3' end, to which the tRNAs corresponding amino acid is attached (by aminoacyl-tRNA synthetases). tRNAs cope with the degeneracy of the genetic code in two manners: having more than one tRNA (with a specific anti-codon) for a particular amino acid; and 'wobble' base-pairing, i.e. permitting non-standard base-pairing at the 3rd anti-codon position. The record is from RNAcentral. Lineage: Bacteria; Pseudomonadati; Thermodesulfobacteriota; Desulfovibrionia; Desulfovibrionales; Desulfovibrionaceae.